RNAcentral lists this unclassified non-coding RNA (362 nucleotides) under uncultured bacterium. RNAcentral's name for it is "contains 16S-23S intergenic spacer region". The record is from RNAcentral.
UCCCCCGUGAGGGGGCAGUCUCGCCUGACAUGUAAAACAGGCAACGAGGGUUGCGUUCGUUACCCCACUGAAGGGAACAACUCAAGCCACGAACUGACGACGACCAUGCAUCACCUGCCCAGCCGCCUUGCGGGGGACCUAGUUUCCUAGGCCUUACGUCUGGGUUUCAAACCCUGGUGAGGUUCUUCGUUUGUCAUCGAAUUGAGCCGCAUGAUCCACCGCUUGUGCAAGUCCCCGUCUAUUCCUUUGAGUUUUAAUCUUGCGAUCGUACUACCCAGGCGGAUAACUUAACGCGUUAGCUUCGCCACAAAGAGGGUCGAUACUCCUUAUAGCCAGUUAUCAUCGUUUAGGGCGUGGACUAC